RNAcentral lists this ribosomal RNA (531 nucleotides) under uncultured Solitalea sp. RNAcentral's name for it is "bacterial SSU rRNA". It matches the Rfam family "Bacterial small subunit ribosomal RNA", at positions 389 to 919 of the family's 1533-position model. The record is from RNAcentral. Lineage: Bacteria; Pseudomonadati; Bacteroidota; Sphingobacteriia; Sphingobacteriales; Sphingobacteriaceae.
CAGCCAUGCCGCGUGCAGGAAGACGGCCCUAUGGGUUGUAAACUGCUUUUNUCGGGGAAUAAACCUCAUUACGUGUAAUGAGUUGAAGGUACCCGAAGAAUAAGGAUCGGCUAACUCCGUGCCAGCAGCCGCGGUAAUACGGAGGAUCCAAGCGUUAUCCGGAUUUAUUGGGUUUAAAGGGUGCGUAGGCGGUUUAUUAAGUCAGUGGUGAAAGCCCGGAGCUCAACUUCGGAACUGCCAUUGAUACUGAUAGACUUGAGUACAGAUGAAGUGGGCGGAAUGUGACAAGUAGCGGUGAAAUGCUUAGAUAUGUCACAGAACACCGAUUGCGAAGGCAGCUCCACUAAAGUGUAACUGACGCUGAGGCACGAAAGCGUGGGGAUCAAACAGGAUUAGAUACCCUGGUAGUCCACGCCCUAAACGAUGAUUACUCGCUGUUAGCGAUAUACAGUUAGCGGCUAAGCGAAAGCGUUAAGUAAUCCACCUGGGGAGUACGGUCGCAAGAUUGAAACUCAAAGGAAUUGACGGGGG